This 491-nucleotide ribosomal RNA is filed under the name uncultured bacterium. RNAcentral describes it as "partial 16S ribosomal RNA". It matches the Rfam family "Bacterial small subunit ribosomal RNA", at positions 28 to 507 of the family's 1533-position model. The record is from RNAcentral.
GAUGAACGCUAGCGAUAGGCUUAACACAUGCAAGUCGAGGGGUAACGUGUUGGAAGCUUGCUUCCGAUGACGACGACCGGCGGAUGGGUGCGUAACGCGUAUGCAACUUGCCUCACAGUGGAGAAUAACCCGGAGAAAUCUGGACUAAUACUCCAUACACUCUUAAGUACGCCUGUACAUGAGAGGAAAGAUUUAUCGCUGUGAGAUAGGCAUGCGUCCUAUUAGGUAGUUGGUGAGGUAACGGCUCACCAAGCCGACGAUAGGUAGGGGUGCUGAGAGGCAGAUCCCCCACAUUGGGACUGAGACACGGCCCAAACUACUACGGGAGGCAGCAGUGAGGAAUAUUGGUCAAUGGAGGAAACUCUGAACCAGCCAAGUCGCGUGAAGGAAGAAUGUCCUAAGGAUUGUAAACUUCUUUAGCGAGCGAGUAAGGACUUCCACGUGAUGGGAGUUUGAAAGUAGCUCGAGAAUAAGUAUCGGCUAACUCCGUG